This 255-nucleotide ribosomal RNA is filed under the name uncultured bacterium. RNAcentral's name for it is "partial 16S ribosomal RNA". It matches the Rfam family "Bacterial small subunit ribosomal RNA", at positions 524 to 776 of the family's 1533-position model. The record is from RNAcentral.
UACGGGGGGAGCAAGCGUUGUUCGGAUUUACUGGGCGUAAAGGGCGCGUAGGCGGUCAGCACAUGUCAGUUGUGAAAUCUCCACGCUCAACGUGGAGGCGCCACCUGAAACUGCCGUGACUCGAGUCCGGUAGGGGAGUGUGGAAUUCCCGGUGUAGCGGUGAAAUGCGCAGAUAUCGGGAGGAACACCAGUGGCGAAGGCGGCACUCUGGGCCGGUACUGACGCUGAGGAGCGAAAGCGUGGGGAGCGAACAGG